RNAcentral lists this ribosomal RNA (406 nucleotides) under uncultured bacterium. Its description in RNAcentral is "partial 16S ribosomal RNA". It matches the Rfam family "Bacterial small subunit ribosomal RNA", at positions 30 to 526 of the family's 1533-position model. The record is from RNAcentral.
AUUGAACGCUGGCGGCAGGCCUAACACAUGCAAGUCGAACGCGUGGCGGACGGGUGAGUAAUGUCUGGGAAACUGCCUGAUGGAGGGGGAUAACUAAUGGAAACGGUAGCUAAUACCGCAUACCCUCAGAUGUGCCCAGAUGGGAUUAGCUUGUUGUUGGGGUAACGGCUCACCAAGGCGACGAGCCCUAGCUGGUCUGAGAGGAUGACCAGCCACACUGGAACUGAGACACGGUCCAGACUCCUACGGGAGGCAGCAGUGGGGAAUAUUGCACAAUGGGCGAAAGCCUGAUGCAGCCAUGCCGCGUGUAUGAAGAAGGCCUUCGGGUUGUAAAGUACGUUCAGCGGGGAGGCGUUACCCGCAGAAGAAGCACCGGCUAACUCCGUGCCAGCCGCCGCGGUAAUUC